AUUAAUGAGAGUUUGAUCCUGGCUCAGGACGAACGCUGGCGGCGUGCCUAAUACAUGCAAGUAGAACGCUGAAGAGAGGAGCUUGCUCUUCUUGGAUGAGUUGCGAACGGGUGAGUAACGCGUAGGUAACCUGCCUUGUAGCGGGGGAUAACUAUUGGAAACGAUAGCUAAUACCGCAUAACAAUGGAUGACACAUGUCAUUUAUUUGAAAGGGGCAAUUGCUCCACUACAAGAUGGACCUGCGUUGUAUUAGCUAGUAGGUGAGGUAAUGGCUCACCUAGGCGACGAUACAUAGCCGACCUGAGAGGGUGAUCGGCCACACUGGGACUGAGACACGGCCCAGACUCCUACGGGAGGCAGCAGUAGGGAAUCUUCGGCAAUGGGGGCAACCCUGACCGAGCAACGCCGCGUGAGUGAAGAAGGUUUUCGGAUCGUAAAGCUCUGUUGUAAGUCAAGAACGGGUGUGAGAGUGGAAAGUUCACACUGUGACGGUAGCUUACCAGAAAGGGACGGCUAACUACGUGCGAGCAGCCGCGGUAAUACGUAGGUCCCGAGCGUUGUCCGGAUUUAUUGGGCGUAAAGCGAGCGCAGGCGGUUUGAUAAGUCUGAAGUUAAAGGCUGUGGCUCAACCAUAGUUCGCUUUGGAAACUGUCAAACUUGAGUGCAGAAGGGGAGAGUGGAAUUCCAUGUGUAGCGGUGAAAUGCGUAGAUAUAUGGAGGAACACCGGUGGCGAAAGCGGCUCUCUGGUCUGUAACUGACGCUGAGGCUCGAAAGCGUGGGGAGCGAACAGGAUUAGAUACCCUGGUAGUCCACGCCGUAAACGAUGAGUGCUAGGUGUUGGAUCCUUUCCGGGAUUCAGUGCCGCAGCUAACGCAUUAAGCACUCCGCCUGGGGAGUACGACCGCAAGGUUGAAACUCAAAGGAAUUGACGGGGGCCCGCACAAGCGGUGGAGCAUGUGGUUUAAUUCGAAGCAACGCGAAGAACCUUACCAGGUCUUGACAUCCCGAUGCUAUUUCUAGAGAUAGAAAGUUACUUCGGUACAUCGGUGACAGGUGGUGCAUGGUUGUCGUCAGCUCGUGUCGUGAGAUGUUGGGUUAAGUCCCGCAACGAGCGCAACCCCUAUUGUUAGUUGCCAUCAUUCAGUUGGGCACUCUAGCGAGACUGCCGGUAAUAAACCGGAGGAAGGUGGGGAUGACGUCAAAUCAUCAUGCCCCUUAUGACCUGGGCUACACACGUGCUACAAUGGUUGGUACAACGAGUUGCGAGUCGGUGACGGCGAGCUAAUCUCUUAAAGCCAAUCUCAGUUCGGAUUGUAGGCUGCAACUCGCCUACAUGAAGUCGGAAUCGCUAGUAAUCGCGGAUCAGCACGCCGCGGUGAAUACGUUCCCGGGCCUUGUACACACCGCCCGUCACACCACGAGAGUUUGUAACACCCGAAGUCGGUGAGGUAACCUUUUGGAGCCAGCCGCCUAAGGUGGGACAGAUGAUUGGGGUGAAGUCGUAACAAGGUAGCCGUAUCGGAAGGUGCGGCUGGAUCACCUCCUUU
Molecule: ribosomal RNA, 1548 nt
Filed under: Streptococcus thermophilus JIM 8232
Lineage: Bacteria; Bacillati; Bacillota; Bacilli; Lactobacillales; Streptococcaceae
Description: 16S ribosomal RNA
Rfam family: Bacterial small subunit ribosomal RNA
Source: RNAcentral